AGAGUUUGAUCCUGGCUCAGAUUGAACGCUGGCGGCAUGCCUUACACAUGCAAGUCGAACGGCAGCACGGGUGCUUGCACCUGGUGGCGAGUGGCGAACGGGUGAGUAAUAUAUCGGAACGUACCUUAUCGUGGGGGAUAACGCAGCGAAAGCUGCGCUAAUACCGCAUACGCCCUGAGGGGGAAAGCGGGGGACCGUAAGGCCUCGCGCGAUUAGAGCGGCCGAUAUCUGAUUAGCUUGUUGGUGGGGUAAAAGCCCACCAAGGCGACGAUCAGUAGCUGGUCUGAGAGGACGAUCAGCCACACUGGGACUGAGACACGGCCCAGACUCCUACGGGAGGCAGCAGUGGGGAAUUUUGGACAAUGGGGGCAACCCUGAUCCAGCAAUGCCGCGUGAGUGAAGAAGGCCUUCGGGUUGUAAAGCUCUUUUGUCAGGGAAGAAACAGCAGCUCUAACACAGUCUGCGAAUGACGGUACCUGAAGAAUAAGCACCGGCUAACUACGUGCCAGCAGCCGCGGGAAUACGUAGGGUGCAAGCGUUAAUCGGAAUUACUGGGCGUAAAGCGUGCGCAGGCGGUUAUACAAGACAGGC
Molecule: ribosomal RNA, 591 nt
Filed under: uncultured freshwater bacterium
Lineage: Bacteria
Description: bacterial SSU rRNA
Rfam family: Bacterial small subunit ribosomal RNA
Source: RNAcentral